RNAcentral lists this ribosomal RNA (363 nucleotides) under uncultured bacterium. RNAcentral's name for it is "bacterial SSU rRNA". It matches the Rfam family "Bacterial small subunit ribosomal RNA", at positions 72 to 422 of the family's 1533-position model. The record is from RNAcentral.
AAGCCCCGCAAGGGGUAAGUAGAGUGGCAAACGGGUGAGUAACACGUGGGUGACCUGCCUUCGAGUGGGGGAUAACGUCCCGAAAGGGACGCUAAUACCGCAUGACAUCCUGCUUUUGGAAAAGCGGAGAUCAAAGCUGGGGAUCGCAAGACCUGGCGCUUGAAGAGGGGCCCGCGCCUGAUUAGCUAGUUGGUGGGGUAACGGCCUACCAAGGCGACGAUCAGUAUCCGGCCUGAGAGGGCGGACGGACACACUGGGACUGAGACACGGCCCAGACUCCUACGGGAGGCAGCAGUGGGGAAUUGUUCGCAAUGGGCGCAAGCCUGACGACGCAACGCCGCGUGGAGGACGAAGAUCUUCGGG